GAUGAAGAACGUAGCAAAAUGCGAUAAGUAAUGUGAAUUGCAGAAUUCAGUGAAUCAUCGAAUCUUUGAACGCACAUUGCGCCCGCUGGUAUUCCGGCGGGCAUGCCUGUUCGAGCGUCAUUUCAACCCUCAAGCCCCCGGGUUUGGUGUUGGGGAUCGGCUCUGCCCUCUGGGCGGUGCCGCCCCCGAAAUACAUUGGCGGUCUCGCUGCAGCCUCCAUUGCGUAGUAGCUAACACCUCGCAACUGGAACGCGGCGCGGCCAUGCCGUAAAACCCCAACUUCUGAAUGUUGACCUCGGAUCAGGUAGGAAUACCCGCUGAACUUAAGCAUAUCAAUAAGCGGAGGA
RNAcentral lists this unclassified non-coding RNA (347 nucleotides) under soil metagenome. Its description in RNAcentral is "partial contains 5.8S ribosomal RNA, internal transcribed spacer 2, and large subunit ribosomal RNA". The stretch from base 1 to 120 matches the Rfam family "5.8S ribosomal RNA", at positions 35 to 154 of the family's 154-position model. The record is from RNAcentral.